GGCUCCUCGCGCCGCCGCCUAAUGGAUUCCCCAACUCCGAUGCUUCUAGAACCUUCCGAGCCUCGCGCGCGCCGCCGCCGCCGCGGCCAUGGUGCUGGCCUCCGACGAGUUCGGCUGGUCGAUCUCGUUCACCAUCCUCGAGGAGGAGGAGGAAGAAGGAGUAGAAGACGCGUCACGCGACUGUGGGGGCUCGACUCGACGCGCAGAAGGCGGGCCAAUGUCGCCGCCGGCGAGGCCGUGGCGGCGCGCAUCCUCCGCGCCUACCUCGACACCAAGGGAGAUGUUCCAGUUCCCCUGACGGCGAAGCCACCAUUACCUCCUGAACUACCUUUGCAAGAUAGCAAUCCUCAUCAUGUUCGAACAAACGGCAUCAGAGAACAAAACAAGCAGCAGCAGAUCGUGCUGACAACUCAGGUGGUGAAAAUGAUUCUCAAGAUUGAUGACAUUAUCACGCCCGAGGAAGAAAGGGUUAUCAUAAUGAGGAAGGGUUCAGGCAUCAUCACCGACAAGCAGAACGAAGAUCAAUACACUAGUGGCAAGCAGUUCAGCUGGUUCAUGCAGUGCUGGUAUGUUGUGAAUGCUCCAUGCAGGCGCUUCUUCCCCAGCCUCAGAGCCACCGUGCCGCACUCCGGGAAGACGGCCACCGUCCUCAGCCGCAACCUUCCUUUGCUGGUGCUGCUGCUGAUCCCUCUGCUGACGUCUGCUCUCAGCUUCAGCACAGCUGCUCCUCUCAGACCUGGAAAAAGCAUACAAGAAGCUCAGCAUCAUAGCAUCACGGUGGCGGUGAGGGUGAGCAGCUCGGCGGGGGAGCGGCUGUCGAGGCCAGCCUUCACGGCGGAGGUGACCCGGGACCUGUUGGCACCGGCAGACUCCGCGGACUCGGCACAGACGGUGGCCACCAGCGCGGCAGCCGAGGCAAGCACCGUGCUCAGCUUCCUGUCAGCCCCAGCACCCCCAGAGCUGCUCCUCAGCUCGCAAGCCGACACGACGCCGGCGAUCGCAGCUGCGAGCUGGGCCACCGAGACGGCGGCGUGGGCCUGCGCCGUGUGCAGCCGGAGCUCGUCGCGCCUCUUCCUCCUCCGGCUCCCGGCGAUGGGGAUGCUGUCCAUCAAGUAUCCUCUCAGAAUUGCCCUCAUGUGUCCCAUGUUCAGCUGCUCAUUUUCAGUGGAAACCAAAAGCUUUCGUCAAUUCACUUCACUGUGCCAGAUCCGACAAAGCAUGAUGGCCUUGUCUUGAAAUGAAAAAU
RNAcentral lists this long non-coding RNA (1246 nucleotides) under Oryza sativa Indica Group (long-grained rice). RNAcentral's name for it is "lncRNA OsMH63_10G020480". The record is from RNAcentral. Lineage: Eukaryota; Viridiplantae; Streptophyta; Magnoliopsida; Poales; Poaceae.